RNAcentral lists this long non-coding RNA (251 nucleotides) under Ananas comosus (pineapple). RNAcentral's name for it is "long non-coding RNA (ACOM_LNC041055)". Lineage: Eukaryota; Viridiplantae; Streptophyta; Magnoliopsida; Poales; Bromeliaceae. The record is from RNAcentral.
CAGAUUUGACUUUGAACAUUUACUAUGACAUAUGGACAGAUGAUGACUUAGUGUACUGACUGGAAUUUGACUAGAAUAGUAAACAUUGGCACUUUACUAUUUUGCAUUAUGGACAUCAUGAUAGUUGGAGACUUUUACUACAUAUAUAGUUGCUUUCAUACUUAUGCCUUUCAUGCUAAGUAGAAAUAUCAUGUUGUAGUAAGUUACAUUCUACUUACCUUUCGCUUCCAUACGUUCUUAGACACUGACCC